UACAGAGGGGGCAAGCGUUGUUCGGAAUUACUGGGCGUAAAGGGCGCGUAGGCGGCCUUCUAAGUCGAACGUGAAAUCCCCGGGCUCAACCCGGGAACUGCGUCCGAUACUGGAAGGCUUGAAUCCGGGAGAGGGAUGCGGAAUUCCCGGUGUAGCGGUGAAAUGCGCAGAUAUCAGGAGGAACACCAAUAGCGAAGGCAGCUCGCUGGGACGUUACUGACACUGAGGCGCGAAAGCGUGGGGAGCGAACAGG
This 253-nucleotide ribosomal RNA is filed under the name uncultured bacterium. Its description in RNAcentral is "partial 16S ribosomal RNA". It matches the Rfam family "Bacterial small subunit ribosomal RNA", at positions 524 to 776 of the family's 1533-position model. The record is from RNAcentral.